GAAAGUAUCAACGUGUAUUUUCUCGACCGAGAGGUCCAGGUAAGCCGCUGAAACGCUUUCGUGCUUGAGAUUGUAAAUUGAAACUUUUCACAUGAAC
This 97-nucleotide non-coding RNA is filed under the name Glossina pallidipes. The record is from RNAcentral. Lineage: Eukaryota; Metazoa; Arthropoda; Insecta; Diptera; Glossinidae.